Molecule: ribosomal RNA, 253 nt
Filed under: uncultured bacterium
Lineage: Bacteria
Description: partial 16S ribosomal RNA
Rfam family: Bacterial small subunit ribosomal RNA
Source: RNAcentral
UACAGAGGUCUCGAGCGUUGUUCGGAUUCAUUGGGCGUAAAGGGUGCGUAGGCGGCGGGGUAAGUCUGAUGUGAAAUCCCGGGGCUCAACCCCGGAACUGCAUUUGAUACUGCCUUGCUUGAGGACUGGAGAGGAGACUGGAAUUCACGGUGUAGCAGUGAAAUGCGUAGAUAUCGUGAGGAACACCAGUGGCGAAGGCGGUUCUCUGGACAGUAACUGACGCUGAGGCACGAAGGCCUGGGGAGCGAACGGG